This 1333-nucleotide ribosomal RNA is filed under the name 'Hibiscus rosa-sinensis' little leaf and yellowing phytoplasma. Its description in RNAcentral is "bacterial SSU rRNA". It matches the Rfam family "Bacterial small subunit ribosomal RNA", at positions 173 to 1502 of the family's 1533-position model. The record is from RNAcentral. Lineage: Bacteria; Bacillati; Mycoplasmatota; Mollicutes; Acholeplasmatales; Acholeplasmataceae.
GAAACAAAAAGGCAUCUUUUUGUUUUUAAAAGACCUUCUUACGAAGGUAUGCUUAAAGAGGGGCUUGCGCCACAUUAGUUAGUUGGUAGAGUAAAAGCCUACCAAGACGAUGAUGUGUAGCUGGACUGAGAGGUUGAACAGCCACAUUGGGACUGAGACACGGCCCAAACUCCUACGGGAGGCAGCAGUAGGGAAUUUUCGGCAAUGGAGGAAACUCUGACCGAGCAACGCCGCGUGAACGAUGAAGUAUUUCGGUAUGUAAAGUUCUUUUAUUGAAGAAGAAAAAGUAGUGGAAAAACUAUAUUGACGUUAUUCAAUGAAUAAGCCCCGGCUAACUAUGUGCCAGCAGCCGCGGUAAGACAUAGGGGGCGAGCGUUAUCCGGAAUUAUUGGGCGUAAAGGGUGCGUAGGCUGUUAGAUAAGUCUAUAAUUUAAUUUCAGUGCUUAACGCUGUCUUGUUAUAGAAACUGUCUUGACUAGAGUGAGAUAGAGGCAAGCGGAAUUCCAUGUGUAGCGGUAAAAUGUGUAAAUAUAUGGAGGAACACCAGAAGCGUAGGCGGCUUGCUGGGUCUUUACUGACGCUGAGGCACGAAAGCGUGGGUAGCAAACAGGAUUAGAUACCCUGGUAGUCCACGCCGUAAACGAUGAGUACUAAGUGUCGGGGUAAAACUCGGUACUGAAGUUAACACAUUAAGUACUCCGCCUGAGUAGUACGUACGCAAGUAUGAAACUUAAAGGAAUUGACGGGACUCCGCACAAGCGGUGGAUCAUGUUGUUUAAUUCGAAGAUACACGAAAAAUCUUACCAGGUCUUGACAUACUCUGCAAAGCUAUAGAAAUAUAGUGGAGGUUAUCAGGGAUACAGGUGGUGCAUGGUUGUCGUCAGUUCGUGUCGUGAGAUGUUAGGUUAAGUCCUAAAACGAACGCAACCCUUGUCGUUAAUUGCCAGCACAUAAUGGUGGGGACUUUAACGAGACUGCCAAUUAAACAUUGGAGGAAGGUGAGGAUUACGUCAAAUCAUCAUGCCCCUUAUGAUCUGGGCUACAAACGUGAUACAAUGGCUGUGACAAAGAGUAGCUGAAACGCGAGUUUUUAGCCAAUCUCAAAAAAGCAGUCUCAGUUCGGAUUGAAGUCUGUAACUCGACUUCAUGAAGUUGGAAUCGCUAGUAAUCGCGAAUCAGCAUGUCGCGGUGAAUACGUUCUCGGGGUUUGUACACACCGCCCGUCAAACCACGAAAGUUAGCAAUGCCCGAAAGCAGUAGCUUAACUUCGCAAGAAGAGGGAACUGUCUAAGGUAGGGUUGAUGAUUGGGGGUAAGUCGUAACAGCGUACCCC